GAUCCACAGUUACGUGGGAGGGAAGAGAUGCACUGCUUUAGCACUGCAUGUUGGGAAAGGCAUUCAACCUGCACCUGGUCACCUCAACACAUCAGACAUACGCAAAGAUUUAGACUGUAUGUCCGUCAGUGUCGUUCUCGCUCACCUUUGAAGCUUCUGCACUCACUGGAUAACACCUAUGGCAUUCACCAAUUAGGGAUCUGCCUACAGGAAGGAGGAAGACAAGGCCCUUUUUCAGGGCUCUGACCUUCAGAGAGAAAUGGAAAGAUGAGGGUCAGCUACCUAUGUACCUGCAUAAAGGAGAUAAAUCAAAUUCUCUGCUGCAGAGGGAACACACGCAGGGUGUCCUCCAUAUGUGAGCAAGGAGAGGUUGAGACAAAAGCACUAUGGUGCAUACACCUUUCACCCGGCAGCCUAACAAAUGACACAUUCUGGAAAUUUAAAGCCUCUGUGAUUUUAUCUACAGGAAACUUUUUUUUUUUCCUCCCUCCCCUAUUCAUUUCUGAAUGGAAGUGAAAGAAAAAAGAACCAGGGUAUUUGCCCAUCUGCAGUAAGGACCAAACUUACGGCUGAUUUUAUAAGGUGCAAGGCUCUACUGAAGGAAACAUUCAACUGGUUAAGCCAUAUAUGCAGAGUGCCUGGAAACCACUGUUACUUCUUAGGGAAAUAAUUAUUAAUACAAAAAUAAUUAUUAAUACAGAUAACAAUAUAAAAUAAUAUACAAAUGUGUUGAACGAGAACAGUGCACACUGCUGACAGUGGAAGGUGGCCAUGUGGAACAUGCUGCAUUUGCCUGCACUGAGCCAACAGGACAGUAAGAGCCAGAAACACCAUUCUUGCUUCUAACACCAUCCUGCUAUUUUAAGCUAGCCAGACAAAAAUAAUUCAUGUGAGAAUUUUAAAAAUGGCUUUCUAAAGAAAGAGAUUAUUUUUUCCCUCUGCUUAAUUGAUUUUACUCUCACUUUCCCUUCUGUUUCCUCUCCUUGAAAAAGAAGUGCCACAGGCAUUAGAGGAGGUAUUUUAAUACCAAAAUUAUCCUAGAAAAUAAGUUUAAUCACACACCCCAACGUUUUCAGAAAGGAGGAUGUAAAAUAUGGCAUAUUUUGACACUUACAAAGAAGAAAUGCCUUGAGCUGGAGUGGCUGGAAACUUUUCUUGAGAAUCUCCUGUUUUGUCCUUUUAUUUCACAUAAUUUUUGAGUUUCAUAUGACUUUUAGAUGGCCUCUUCUUCCUAUGUUGCAACAGUUUAUAUAUCAGGUUAAGUACCCCACAAACCAGUUCAGCCACAGAACAGCGCUGCAGGUUCAGCCUCAGUCACAGGAUGAUGCUGAGGAGUAGGAGGAUUCCUUGAUAUCCAAGCACUGCUGCUUUGCUGUGUUCUCCCACAGUUCAUUCGUGUCACAGACAGUGAACAGGAAGGUUCCUUCAUCCUAUGACAGUGGGAUAAAACCCACUCUGCAGACACAGGGCAAAAACACGAGCCUGACUUCUAAGCCUCAUUUCAAUGCAUUGUUUAAUUCCACGCUUCUGAGACCUUGAGCAUUUGUGUUUGAGGCAGAGUCAAGAGAGAGGCAGCUCAGCUAAAAAGCACAAGAGGACUGAGUUGAUGAAAAAAAAUAAAAAUAAAAGCAAACCAUCUGAUAAAAGCAUAACUCAGAAACUGGAUAGAAGCCAAGAAAGUGUUGCAGAGUGCUGACUGCAAAGUGAUAGACAGAGGUUUCCAUUUCACACGUUGUCAUUAUAAUCUUGCGGUCCCAGUUCUACAAUGUCAUGACAAAUUCCUCCUACAAAGAGGAAUUAGAAAGGAGUAGAAGAGAAGAAAUAACUACACAGCCCAGAAAAGGAAACAUAGGAAGGGGAGGGGGCAUUUGUUUACAUGUUCAGCUAUUUGCAGCAUAGAGAUUUUCCAUUCACAACCGGAACUCUCAUGCUCCUGAAGGCAAAGACAAAAGGCCAAGAUAAAACCAGAAAGUGUUUUGGAGUAGCUGGAUGAUGUGUUCCAUUUCCAGACAUAAUUGACACAGACUAAAUUUCAAGAGUACAAGUGCCAGGAAACUCACAGAGCUGUCAGACAAUCAGAAGAUCCUCUUGUGACUCACCCUAAUCCUCUGAGAUAGUUGCCUGUCUCUUGAGAAGAGCCAGAGCCCUUCAAUGAAGAGGACGAUGACAUAACAAAUACCUCUGUUGCUCGGCUCUUAGGAGCCUCUAUAUGCUCUAUAUGAAAAAAUUUCAAUUUCAGUCUGUCUACUGAGGCACUAUUGAGAAAAUGCUAUAGCUCAUAAUCCUCCAAAAAAAAAAUAAUUACUGGGAGUCUCACCUUGAAUGGAAGCAAAAGCAUAUUGAACGAGUAGAUGUCACAGAGUGCUGUUAGUAACUGAAAAAUAAAAUCAAUGACAAGGGAAGAGGGGAUGUCUGGAUCUCUGUUUUUUUGUUCCAUAGAGCUAUCCCUGUGCUUCCUUCUAUUCGUAAAACAAAACGUGAAAAAUACAGAGGGACAUAAGAGACAUCAUGGAGAAGCUAAAGGAGAAGACGGCAAAGCAGAUGUCGCAUCUGAGAAGAAUGGAAGAAGUGACCAAAUGGUGGGCAGAAUGAAAAGUAAAUAAAGUCACUGUUCACUUGUGCUCUGAUUUCUGCUUUUCAUCUCUAGCGGUAAGAUGCAGUGUUCGUGUGUGCUUUAUUCCCUAAAAGCACUCCAGAGUCUUCGCUGCUAUACUCUUAAAAAAUGCAUCUUUAAAAAUGACGAUAAUUCACUAAAUACUUACACCAGACUUAAUUUCAUUUCAAGACAUCAACUGAACCGGAAUAGAAAACCUUCAUUUUCAUAGCAAAACUUUGCACCUCAUAAAGGUUUUAUCUGUUGCUAUGGCACAGGUUUUACCCAAAGGAGUUACUUGCAGAAUAGCACAAGAAGGAGGAAUUUUCCAGUUCCUUUCAUAUACACAUUUUC
This 2947-nucleotide long non-coding RNA is filed under the name Gallus gallus (chicken). The record is from RNAcentral. Lineage: Eukaryota; Metazoa; Chordata; Aves; Galliformes; Phasianidae.